UAAAGACUCUUCACUUGUAUGAUUAAAGUGCUUUCCAGAGAAGUCGAACCAUUCUCUCCCCUUCCUGUCCCUUUGCCUGCAGGGCACUCCAGUCCCAAACACUAUUUACUGCUGACAGCAUUGCUUCCGACUUUACCGUGUCUUUGUAUCCCUCUCUCAGGCAAUUUUGAGAUAUAGUCCAUUGAGUUCACAAAGGAAAGAAUAUCCAGGAUGAGCUGGUCCUGAGUGAAGGAGCUGAGAAAUCGAGGCUGUGGGGACAGGAAGAUGGAAAAAGGAGAUGGCACACCGAACCUGAAUCCUGCCCUGGAGGAGGGGUGUAAGAGGAGAUUGAAGGCAGAGAGAGCGUGGGGAACACCGCUCAGGACAAUAACAGAGGCAGGCUUGUGAAAGAUGAUCAGGGCCAGUAAAUGCCUACUAUGUGCCAAAGACGUGACAUAUAUCCACCAGGCCUGUGAGGAAGAGGGACCCACAGGCACACAAUGCUGAUAAUGAGGGACAGGCUGUGAGGGGUAAGCAUGGAUGUCUGGGAGUGCUGAGAAGGGGCCUAGCCUGGCCUGGUUAUGCAUGCAGAGUUGGGGGUGGAGAGGUCACAGAAGGUUUUUUUGAAGAG
This 610-nucleotide long non-coding RNA is filed under the name Equus caballus (horse). Its description in RNAcentral is "lncRNA (ENSECAG00000051587.1)". The record is from RNAcentral. Lineage: Eukaryota; Metazoa; Chordata; Mammalia; Perissodactyla; Equidae.